UACGUAGGGGGCUAGCGUUGUUCGGAAUUACUGGGCGUAAAGGGCGCGUAGGCGGUACUUCAAGUCAGGCGUGAAAGCCCCGGGCUCAACCUGGGAACCGCGCUUGAGACUGGAGAACUAGAGUUCGGGAGAGGAUAGUGGAAUUCCCAGUGUAGAGGUGAAAUUCGUAGAUAUUGGGAAGAACACCGAUGGCGAAGGCAGCCAUCUGGACCGACACUGACGCUGAGGCGCGAAAGCGUGGGGAGCAAACAGG
This 253-nucleotide ribosomal RNA is filed under the name uncultured bacterium. RNAcentral's name for it is "partial 16S ribosomal RNA". It matches the Rfam family "Bacterial small subunit ribosomal RNA", at positions 524 to 776 of the family's 1533-position model. The record is from RNAcentral.